RNAcentral lists this ribosomal RNA (252 nucleotides) under uncultured bacterium. Its description in RNAcentral is "partial 16S ribosomal RNA". It matches the Rfam family "Bacterial small subunit ribosomal RNA", at positions 524 to 776 of the family's 1533-position model. The record is from RNAcentral.
UACGGAGGAUCCGAGCGUUAUCCGGAUUUAUUGGGUUUAAAGGGUGCGUAGGCGGUCCGGAAAGUCAGCGGUAAAAGCCCGGGGCUCAACCCCGGCGAGCCGUUGAAACUGUCGGACUAGAGACGGCGAGAAGUACGCGGAAUGCGCGGUGUAGCGGUGAAAUGCAUAGAUAUCGAGAGGAACACUCGUGGCGAAGGCGGGUUCCUGGACAUUAACUGACGCUGAGGCACGAAGGCCAGGGGAGCGAAAGGG